AAGUGCCGUUCAAGACGAGGACGUUGAUAGGCUGGGUGUGUAAGCGUUGUGAGGCGUUGAGCUAACCAGUACUAAUUGCACGUGAGGCUUGACCAUAUAAUCAUGGGUU
This 109-nucleotide ribosomal RNA is filed under the name Gammaproteobacteria bacterium. Its description in RNAcentral is "partial 23S ribosomal RNA". The stretch from base 1 to 96 matches the Rfam family "Bacterial large subunit ribosomal RNA", at positions 2830 to 2925 of the family's 2925-position model. The record is from RNAcentral. Lineage: Bacteria; Pseudomonadati; Pseudomonadota; Gammaproteobacteria.